RNAcentral lists this ribosomal RNA (222 nucleotides) under Triticum aestivum (bread wheat). Its description in RNAcentral is "partial small subunit ribosomal RNA". Lineage: Eukaryota; Viridiplantae; Streptophyta; Magnoliopsida; Poales; Poaceae. The record is from RNAcentral.
AUGCUUCGGAUUAGAGAAAAUGACUCUAAUUUGUCCACGCCUACGAAUCAGUCGACAUUUUGUACAAAUUUUACGAACAGAAGCUCUUAUUUUCAUAUUUCCGGAGAAUUCGUUUCUAAUAGAUACUUGAAUGAAAAAAUUCGAUACCAUAGUCCCCGCUACUCUCCUCAUAGGAUACUUAUCAAAAACUCAAUUUUGUACUGGAUCGGGGCAUCCUAUUAG